AUUCCCCUACGGGGCGCAGCAGUAGGGAAUUUUCGUCAAUGGGCGCAAGCCUGAACGAGCAAUGCCGCGUGAACGAGGAAGGUCUUCGGAUCGUAAAGUUCUGUUGAAGGGGAAAAAGAGCGGAGAGAGGAAAUGGUCUCCGAUUGAUAUUAACCUUCGAGGAAGUCACGGCUAACUACGUGCCAGCAGCCGUGGUAAUACGUAGGUGGCGAGCGUUAUCCGGAAUGCUUGGGCGUAAAGGGUGCGUAGGCGGCCUGCUAAGUCUGGAGUGAACGGUACCGGCUCAACCGGUACAGGCUCUGGUA
Molecule: ribosomal RNA, 305 nt
Filed under: uncultured bacterium
Lineage: Bacteria
Description: bacterial SSU rRNA
Rfam family: Bacterial small subunit ribosomal RNA
Source: RNAcentral